This is a long non-coding RNA of Homo sapiens (human), 1438 nucleotides long. Ensembl annotates it as long intergenic non-protein coding RNA 2123. Lineage: Eukaryota; Metazoa; Chordata; Mammalia; Primates; Hominidae. The record is from Ensembl.
GCUCCUGACUGCUGCUCUCAAGCUCAAGUGGGAGAAUUAAGACAGCCUCAUUCACUGCUCAGCACUUCCUUUGCUCUGAUGAUCAUCAGAAAUCAUCUCAGUCUUCCUUGCGCUGCUCCUUCUUUUCCUGAAGUUCCGAUGCUCCAGCUUCAAUCCUCAAACUUGGAAAAAAAAAAAAAAAAGGAAAUAUCUGUAGUCCUUGCAACUGCUUUUUGAAGUUGUGCUCGGGCCCCUGUUGUUUCUCUACUGAAGCUUGCAGUGUGCUUUCAUCGGAGCUGGCCCCUGCCCCAGCCAGCACCAGCCCUCAAAGACUUUUUUAUUCUAACAUAGCCCGAGUAUGUUAGGAAACUAGAGCUGCAUAACCACUGCCUCUUAACUCUGCUAGCCCUGGCAUCUUAUCUGUAUGAUUUCUGCAGUGAUGGGAGGGAAGCUAGUAGCUCUCUAGUUCAUUAAACGGAACGUCUGUCUAGGAAGAUACCAGGAAGAUAUUUUAUAAAUGAAUGUCGAUAUUUUUCCUUCCAAUGUAAUUAGAUAUUCUGUUUCAAUCUAAGGCUCUUCUUACAGGCAAAAGGAAUAAUGAAGCUUUCAACCAUGAUACAACUGAGAAGAUUUCAGCAUCCACAUAGAAAGAAAAGCAGGGCAAUGCACCCUCCAAGCUUAGGAAGGAGGCAGCCAGAGAACUCCUGGCUCCUUUGUGGGGCUUCACUGAGAAGAUGAACCUGCCGAUGAGGUGUGCAGAGAACUUUGGCUGCACAAGUUAAGAGGAAGAGGCUGAGUCUCAGCUCAGAGAGUGCUGGUAAUGCCAAGCACAGCAGAGCUGCCAGAGGGAUCUACUUGGAAUCUGGGGAGGCCCUGGGGAGACUAACUGGUACAAUUUAAAGAGAUGCAAAGCAAAUGAUAUGCGGGGCAAUCAUGUGAAAAGCCUGCUGCCUUACAGGAUGGACUCCAGCUGCUCAGUGGGACGGGCUGUUGGGGGCUGGGUUUUGGUAGGGCAAGAGGGCCCCGGAUGGAGUGAUGGACACUCUAACUCACUACUCCGCCGUCCAAUACAGUCCAGAUUGUUCAACAACUCUGAGAAUAAAUGGUCUUUUUUAAAAAAUUGGUGUCAAACCUACUGUACUGGGUUGAUGUGAAAUUGAAAUUGAAAUAAGUUGUAUAUAAAAUGUCUGGCACAUAGUAGUGAUCAAUAAAUAUUAAUCCCUUCCCCAGACCAAUGCUGUAUUUCCAUUUCUGGGGCACAUGCCACAUUGUCUAAAUCAAUGUUUUAUUCACUCAUACAUCAAAGAUAAUGGAAACACUUAUAUUUUAGAAAGAACUUACUGUACAUUUUAUAUUCUUUUUGGUAAAUUGAAUAAACACUCUUCAGAGAUAUAUAAACCUAGAUUUCCUGAUAGACUUUGCAUUAGAACAUUGGUGGAAGAGAAUGCACCAGAAAAUC